CCUACGGGAGGCUGCAGUGGGGAAUAUUGCACAAUGGGGGAAACCCUGAUGCAGCGACGCCGCGUGAGCGAAGAAGUAUUUCGGUAUGUAAAGCUCUAUCAGCAGGGAAGAAAAUGACGGUACCUGAGUAAGAAGCUCCGGCUAAAUACGUGCCAGCAGCCGCGGUAAUACGUAUGGAGCAAGCGUUAUCCGGAUUUACUGGGCGUAAAGGGAGCGUAGGCGGCCUGCCAAGUCUGAUGUGAAAUACCGGGGCUCAACCCCGGGGCUGCAUUGGAAACUGGCAGGCUGGAGUGCCGGAGAGGCAGGCGGAAUGCCUAGGGUAGCGGUGAAAUGCUUAGAGAUCAUGAAGAACUCCGAGCGCGAAGGAAAGUGUCCGGGGUGCAACUGACGCGGAGGCUCGAAAGUGCGGGUAUCAAACAGGAUUAGAUACCCCUGUAGUC
This 440-nucleotide ribosomal RNA is filed under the name uncultured bacterium. RNAcentral describes it as "partial 16S ribosomal RNA". It matches the Rfam family "Bacterial small subunit ribosomal RNA", at positions 338 to 795 of the family's 1533-position model. The record is from RNAcentral.